CUCUCCCACAAUUAAAUUUACUUCUUCCAAACAAAGACAAACGGCUUGAACCAGUCAAGUAAGUGAUACGGCACCACUAGAUGUUCCAGAGCCUCCAUCUUUUUUAAUACGAAGAAGAUUUGUCCUUUGUGUGUAUGAAUUUAACAAGUUUUAAUUAUAGAUUUGUGUGUGUAUGAAUUUAAAAACCUAGUACGUAGCAUCAGGGAAUGAUAUCAU
Long non-coding RNA from Arabidopsis thaliana (thale cress), 216 nucleotides. RefSeq annotates it as other RNA. NCBI's taxonomy places the organism in Eukaryota, Viridiplantae, Streptophyta, Magnoliopsida, Brassicales, Brassicaceae. The transcript has a single exon. The record is from RefSeq.